This 1546-nucleotide long non-coding RNA is filed under the name Arachis ipaensis. RNAcentral's name for it is "long non-coding RNA (AIPA_LNC002630)". The record is from RNAcentral. Lineage: Eukaryota; Viridiplantae; Streptophyta; Magnoliopsida; Fabales; Fabaceae.
GGUUCUGCUCUCUCUCUCCCUCUCUUUGCUGCCUUCUGUUUCUUACGUUGAAAAGGGGAGACCCAAUAGAAGCGGUGGGCAUAUAAAUAGGAGAAGAAGAAGUGGGGUGAGGUAGUGAAGAGAGUUACGUGGUUCUUCCUCCAGAGAACACCUAACUAAAUCCCAUUAUCAUAUGAGGAAACCAAGAGGUGUAACCUUGGUUGGGGGAAGGCUUCUCUCUGUUUCGGUCAUCACAUGAAGAAUGAAGAAGAUUAGGGCUUUAAUCAUGGUUAGAUUUCUGAUGAUGCAUAUGCUUAUGGUCUGGUUGAACCGGAAAAAAAAAUGGUUUAAUGUGUGUUGGUUCAUACUUCACAAAUCUUAAUGAUAUAUCUAUACUGUUCUUUUCACUUAUCAAGUCUAAGUCCACCUUAUUAUUUUAUGGUGAGGUGAUUCUCGGAUAUUUAUCGAAUUUCUCAUCACAGAAUUUUUGAGAUUAACUCUGUGGAAAAUCGGGGUGUUAUAUCCCACCCACCUUACAAAAAGUUUCGCCCUCGAAACUUCGAGUGUUUCUUAAGGGUUAUAAAACCACAAAAGAUCCUAUCUUAACUAUCUCAACAACUGUCUUACGCAAGGAAAUGUUUGAUCUUAAAGGUGUUCAUAAACGAAAUCGAUGAAAACUCUCCACAUUCGUACCUCGUGUCACCGUGCUUGCACUGCGAAUCACUCACAUCGGGUCAUCUUGGAUUCAUCGUUACCAUUCUCGUACUAUUUAUAUCCCAACGUUUAACAAUCAACCGUACUUCUAAGUACAGCAGCAGCACGCCACACAAAUAUGGUCAUCGGCGUUUUAAAAUUUUAUGAUGGCGGUCUAUCUGAUAAUCGCAGGUGUUGUGAGAAAUCCUAUAUCGAUAAAUUUAUCCACUCGCAAUCAUUGAGGUCUUAUUCAUUCCCAACAAUCAACAUCAAGGUGAUCAGCCUUAACAUAUCAGGUCAAGUAUGAAUAAUUCCUGAACAAGCGCUCGCAGACGAUCAUGCUGAAUGCAUCAAUGAAGAUACCUAAUAGCAUGAGAAAACAAAAAGCAGAGUAUGCAACGAAGCAUAGUCAGUCCAUUCCCAGGCUCUAUUAGGAACGAACUGCUCUGAUACCAAGUUGUAACAAUCCAAUUUCCGACAGGUCCGGAUCACUGCCAGUCGUCGGGUGUUACUUCCCGGUAGCCCUAUAAAACUCUAGACUCGAUAAUAUUUACUACAUAUGAGCCUUUCGUACUAACAGGAUCGCGUAUGUUAACUUAUUUUUAUCAUAUAGUUGUUUUAACAAACCUAUUAACAAAACCAUGAACAUCUUCGGAGAUAUACAAUAUAAAAUAAAUACCAGACUAACAGCAAAAUUAAAUUUAGCAAUAAGAUCACAGAAAAGCGUUCAUACAAACUUGACACGCUUAGAUAGAUAUAUAUAUAUAUAACUGACAACUUUCCAGAUACCUAGUUCAUAUAGAAAACCCCUAAGCUGGUACCCGGGCUAAAAGAAAAGGAAAUAUCAAGUCCUAUCCCUCAAAAAUGCUACANN